GAUGAACGCUAGCUACAGGCUUAACACAUGCAAGUCGAGGGGUAACGAGAGGAAAGCUUGCUUUCCUUGUCGACGACCGGCGCACGGGUGAGUAACGCGUAUCCAACCUGCCCCCAACUAAGGAAUAACCUUGCGAAAGUAAGACUAAUACCUUAUAAUUUCCUCAGAUGACAUCUGACGAGGAAUAAAGAUUUAUCGGUUGUGGAUGGGGAUGCGUCUGAUUGGCUUGUUGGCGGGGUAACGGACCACCAAGGCAACGAUCAGUAGGGGUUCUGAGAGGAAGGUCCCCCACAUUGGAACUGAGACACGGUCCAAACUCCUACGGGAGGCAGCAGUGAGGAAUAUUGGUCAAUGGGCGGAAGCCUGAACCAGCCAAGUAGCGUGCAGGAUGACGGCCCUAUGGGUUGUAAACUGCUUUUAUACAGGAAUAAAGUUAGCCACGUGUGGUUAUUUGUAGGUACUGUAUGAAUAAGGACCGGCUAAUUCCGUGCCAGCCGCCGCGGUAA
RNAcentral lists this ribosomal RNA (506 nucleotides) under uncultured bacterium. RNAcentral's name for it is "partial 16S ribosomal RNA". It matches the Rfam family "Bacterial small subunit ribosomal RNA", at positions 28 to 523 of the family's 1533-position model. The record is from RNAcentral.